GAUGAACGCUGGCGGCGUGCUUAACACAUGCAAGUCGAACGAUGAAGCCCAGCUUGCUGGGUGGAUUAGUGGCGAACGGGUGAGUAACACGUGAGUAACCUGCCCUUAACUCUGGGAUAAGCCUGGGAAACUGGGUCUAAUACCGGAUAGGAGCGUCCACCGCAUGGUGGGUGUUGGAAAGAUUUAUCGGUUUUGGAUGGACUCGCGGCCUAUCAGCUUGUUGGUGAGGUAAUGGCUCACCAAGGCGACGACGGGUAGCCGGCCUGUGAGGGGGACCGGCCACACGGGGACUGAGAGACGGCCCAGACUCCUACGGGAGGCAGCAGUGGGGAAUAUUGCGCAAUGGGGGCAAGCCUGAUGCAGCGACGCCGCGUGAGGGAUGACGGCCUUCGGGUUGUAAACCUCUUUCAGUAGGGAAGAAGCGAAAGUGACGGUACCUGCAGAAGAAGCACCGGCUAACUACGUG
RNAcentral lists this ribosomal RNA (466 nucleotides) under uncultured bacterium. RNAcentral describes it as "partial 16S ribosomal RNA". It matches the Rfam family "Bacterial small subunit ribosomal RNA", at positions 28 to 507 of the family's 1533-position model. The record is from RNAcentral.